Molecule: non-coding RNA, 226 nt
Filed under: Azorhizobium caulinodans
Lineage: Bacteria; Pseudomonadati; Pseudomonadota; Alphaproteobacteria; Hyphomicrobiales; Xanthobacteraceae
Also listed under: 1 other name
Source: RNAcentral
CACCGUGGGCGCUGUCGAGGUUCUCCGCACCGAAUCCGGUGGCGGAGCUAAGAGGGAAUUCGGUGCGACCUGCUUCCUUUCGGAAGCGCGCCAAUGCCGAAGCUGCCCCCGCAACUGUAAGCGGCGAGCAAGGGCCCAUUCGCGCCACUGGGAGGCAUCUCCUGGGAAGGCCGGGCCGUUGUGCUGACCCGUGAGCCAGGAGACCUGCCCCGACGCUGCGUGUCCU